Molecule: ribosomal RNA, 640 nt
Filed under: Planococcus sp. B-QPkG4
Lineage: Bacteria; Bacillati; Bacillota; Bacilli; Caryophanales; Caryophanaceae
Description: bacterial SSU rRNA
Rfam family: Bacterial small subunit ribosomal RNA
Source: RNAcentral
CUUCUGCGUACAAGUCCACCGGUUUCCAAUGACCGUCCACGGGGGGGCCCGCACAAUUCACAUCACAUGUUAAAGUAAUUCCUGCAACGCGAAUAACCCACCAGGUCCGGACAUCGCGUUGCACGUAUAGGAGACUAGGGUUUCCGUUCGGGGACAACGGUGACAGGUGGUGCAUGGUUGUCGUCAGCUCGUGUCGUGAGAUGUUGGGUUAAGUCCCGCAACGAGCGCAACCCUUGAUCUUAGUUCCCUGCAUUCAGUUGGGCACUUUAAGGGGAAUGCCGGUGACCAACCGGAGGAAGGUGGGGAUGACGUCAAAUCUUCAUGCCCCUUAUGACCUGGGCUACACACGUGCUACAAUGGACGGUACAAAGGGCUGCAAACCCGCGAGGGGGAGCCAAUCCCAGAAAACCGUUCUCAGUUCGGAUUGCAGGCUGCAACUCGCCUGCAUGAAGCCGGAAUCGCUAGUAAUCGCGGAUCAGCAUGCCGCGGUGAAUACGUUCCCGGGCCUUGUACACACCGCCCGUCACACCACGAGAGUUUGUAACACCCGAAGUCGGUGGGGUAACCCUUACGGGAGCCAGCCGCCGAAGGUGGGACAGAUGAUUAGGGAAAGUCGUAGGCGAGCAAGACGAAAGGACAA